This 420-nucleotide ribosomal RNA is filed under the name bacterium. RNAcentral describes it as "partial 16S ribosomal RNA". It matches the Rfam family "Bacterial small subunit ribosomal RNA", at positions 355 to 776 of the family's 1533-position model. The record is from RNAcentral.
UGGGGGAUAUUGCACAAUGGGCGAAAGCCUGAUGCAGCGACGCCGCGUGGGGGAUGAAGGCUUUCGGGUUGUAAACCUCUUUCGCUAUCGAACAAGGCCCGCUUAGGGUGGGUUGAGGGUAGGUGGAGAAGAAGCGCCGGCUAACUACGUGCCAGCAGCCGCGGUAAUACGUAGGGCGCGAGCGUUGUCCGGAAUUAUUGGGCGUAAAGGGCUUGUAGGCGGUUUGUUGCGCCUGCUGUGAAAACGCGGGGCUUAACUUCGCGCGUGCAGUGGGUACGGGCAGGCUUGAGUGUGGUAGGGGUGACUGGAAUUCCAGGUGUAGCGGUGGAAUGCGCAGAUAUCUGGAGGAACACCGAUGGCGAAGGCAGGUCACUGGGCCAUUACUGACGCUGAGGAGCGAAAGCAUGGGUAGCGAACAGG